UAUUCCUCCAUCCUAUCAAACAAAAGGCUCGUCAGAUAAGAUGAGACGACGUUUUUUAAAGAGUUAAUGAUUACCUCUCUCUUUUGGGAAAAGAUGAUGUAAACACCUCACACCAUGUGACUCUUUAAUCGUGUAUAACGAGAGCGAGAGAGAGAGCGAGAGAAACACAGUCCAGAUCUGAUCAGAUCCGGACAGUAAAAAGAGGAUAAUUUUAUAUAAGAGCGGAUCAGAGGAGGGGACAUAUAAAGAAGAUAGAGCGAUUUGUAGAGAAGAUGUGCUGGCUCCCGAUAGACGAGCCUCUGCCUCUACCCGGCGACGUGAUGGUCUGUGCCCAAGGAACCUCCCCAUGCUCCGGGACCCAGUUACUCGCCUCUCGCCUCAGGUGGAUCGGGGAUGAGAUGGAUAAAAACUGGACGGUUGGAUCUCGAGAUAACAGAUAUAAUGAGAAACUUGGGUUAAAUAGAGAAGCCCGCUUUAGAGGCUUUGUAUGCACAGCAAUACAAAUCACCGUCCUCAUAAUCUUUCUUAGAAAGCGACACCUGUAGAUGUAAGUCACUGCAACGGCAAAACCAGCAACAGAUGGUGCCUUCAGGAUCCUGAGGAGAGAGAGCUGUCAGAAUAUUUGCACUGAGAAAAAGGAUGACAGCCAGCCGAGGUUCAGUGUGCACCGAGGUCAUAAUAACCAUGCCCCAAAAUCGGCAAGACAGUUAGGAACAGGGUACAUUUUUUGUACUUUGUUGGCUAAGGAAAAUGUUGUGCUUCGGAAUUCAUGUGACAUAACAUUAUGUCACAGAGAUUAAGUAACAUUUUCAGUUCUUGUUUUAUGGGUAUAGGAUGUAGUACUGUGUGAAUACAUUUUUAAUUGCGUUAUUUCCCAGUUUAUUUUAUUGUUUAACUCACUGCUUGGAAUUCAGUAGGAUUUAACAGACAUAAAUUGUGUUAGUAUAAUCACUCUCUGGCGGUUUUUCCCCGAGAAUAAAACGGUGACGUCAUCCUCCCUUGACCGUUACCAAAGGAAAAACGUACUAGAAUUGCCCACACGACUGUCAUACGUGGACGACCUUACACUUGAAUUAUCGAUGCACUAAUACACGAUGUCAAUUACCUAACUGAAAAAGCUUAUUUGUAUUAAAAAAAUACAUGUUUCUACUUUUUAGAUGCCCGUCUCCUUUGAGCAAUCUGGAAAUGGUGCUCUGUGGAGAAAUAACACUACUUUUUACAUAAGGUUCUGUAAUAAUUAGAGACCAUGCAAAGUCUGGAUUCUAUCCUUACUAAAUAUGAAAGUCAAUUUGUAAAGGUUUUUUUCUGCAGUCAUUUUUAUUAGGUGAAUAAUGAUGUUAGUUGUAUCAAAUAUUCAUAACGAAAAAAUAAGUCAAAUCAACUGUUCUAUUUUUUGAACUUUUGAAAUUGGCUGGGGACUCAGCAUUGUUAAGGCAGAUAAUGUUUAUGAAACCAUGCAAGAAAUCUUGUGUGCAAAAAUAAGGGCAUGCUAUUCAUGUUUACAGUACAUAAGCUGUUUUUAUAUAUUGCAAAAAACUGUAGUUUUCAAUUGCAGUGCUGAAUCUGUGUCUUUUAUAAAGAAUGUGUUCUUUACAUGCUAUUUACAUUUGUAUUACAUUGUGAAUUCUGUGCUCACUCUGGAUAAUAAAAGUUUCAAAGUAAAAAUGCUUUCAUGCUAUCAUUGUUAUGAAAAAAGUAAUGACAACAUAAAACAUUCAACAAAUGCUGAACAAUACUGCUUCAACCAUGGUUCCAUUGAAAAAUCUGAUACAUACUGAAAACACACAACUUGUGUUCGAGUUUCUCAAAUGUUUUGGUAGGUCUGAUGUCAUCAAACAUAAGCUGUAUCUUUACUAGAAAUCAGGUGAAAUGUAUAACACGUAAAUUGUUGCAAGAAUGGUAACAUUAGUGAAAGAUCUACGAAAUACAUCAGCAAAUGAGCAAUUCAUGUGCUGACAUAAGCUACCCUGUACAAUAAUACUGACCAAUACCACACUGCUGUGCUGCACGGAGAUAAGUUCACAUUCUAUUUCUUUGCAAGGAUGGAUGAGACAACUGUAUAGACUGUAGAGUUUAGACUCCAACGGGCAACACAGUAAGGGCAUACUUAAAUGACUUAUUCCUCUGUAAUGUCCUCCAGUGGAAGCUAAUGGCUGUCAAUCCCAGCUAGUAGAUCUGGAAGUGGGCAGAGGUGGUGCCUAUGACCACAGAGUGGGCAUGUUUGCUCACGGUCUAACCACAAAUACAGACACUCCUCACAGAACACAUGCUAGGUGGGAGAGAGAAACACAUGGGCUUUACACUCACAUUCACUUUGGUUUACCAAAAGGAGUAUGCAUUGAAUAUUGGUCAGUUAUUCAAUACAGUAUUGAUCAGUAAGGCCACAGAAAGAAACAAAAGAGUCAUGGACAGUGACUUUAGCAUCAAGCUACACCACACUAAGGGUCAUAUAAAACCUUUUUUUAAAUUUAACUUUUAUUUAACUAGGCAAGUCCAUUAAGAACAAAUUCUUAUUUACAAUGACGGCCUACCCCGGCCAAACCCUCCCCUAACUCGGACAACGCUGGUCCAAUUGUGCGCCACCCUAUGGGACACCCAAUCAUGGCCGGUUGUGAUACAGCCCAUACUGUUACAGUCGGCUUGUGGUUACCAUGGUUAACACAGGCGAAUGGUGGUAUAGUAAAGUAUGUAGUAGCAGAGCUUAUGGUUUGAUGUAUGUACUCUCACAUGCCUGAGAAGAGCUAUGGGGUUUCUGAAGUCACCCUGACAAAUAGUACACACAUCUCCGGCCUCAUUGCACUGCUGGCUGCUGCUGGCCCUCACACCUUAACUCUAUGGGUGAUAGAGCAUCAGGUAGGUGGUCACAAGGAGACAAAGCUUGUGUUUACAUUCCCAUACCAUUAGGCAGGGAUUAUCAACUAGAUUAAGCCGCGGCCCAAACCUUUCUUGAGCAGAUGGUCGGGGCCCCCGGAACAUACAGCAAAUACAAAUAAUUUGAAGACUGCAAAUUGACCACAAGAAGCCCAAACAGAUAUAUUUGACUAAAACAAUAAUUUCAACCCUUGCUUACAUUUGUUUAUGAUCACGUGUCUCCCUAUUAUGGAAAUACUUGGGAACAGAGUUCCAAAAUUAAAAUAACUUGGAGCUGAUUUCCUGGUGUUUUUACAGUUUUUUUAUACCCCCCAAAAUGUAAUAAUAAUAAUUCUCAAUUUGUUUUGCUCUGAAAACUCAGGGGGCCAAAUAAAACACCCGCAGGCCACCAGUCGGGGAACCCUGCCAUACAGGGUCAACUCACUGUAUACAGUAUCUUUAUUCUGAUGUUGCAUUUUAAUACGGUACAUGUAGUAAGAUGAUUCAAUCAGAGUGCAAGAUCAGGCAAAACCCACUGACAGUUGAAGGUUUACAACUGUAGCUAGUAGUGUUAUAGGGCAGUGAUGUGGGCUGGUAUUUGGCCCUGAUACUUUUCUUUACAGAAAGUAAUCAUUUCUCACCUGAGAACUGCAGAGAAUUUCCAUAUAGCCCUGCGUAUGGCUGAUACUCGUCCACAGAGGUCAAGCGACUGAAAGAUAAACAUAUUACACAGUCAAGG
This is a long non-coding RNA of Oncorhynchus tshawytscha (Chinook salmon), 3589 nucleotides long. The record is from Ensembl. NCBI's taxonomy places the organism in Eukaryota, Metazoa, Chordata, Actinopteri, Salmoniformes, Salmonidae.